This 1641-nucleotide long non-coding RNA is filed under the name Dermacentor andersoni. RNAcentral's name for it is "uncharacterized LOC126545762". The record is from RNAcentral. Lineage: Eukaryota; Metazoa; Arthropoda; Arachnida; Ixodida; Ixodidae.
UUUGUAGUUUUGUCAGUGUCACGCCCGCUCAGGUGAACAGGUCUCACUCGAUGACCACAAACUUACUGUCACAACACAAGCGAACGCUUCGCACCGGAUUUCCGAAACCUUUAGCUUACACGACAAGCACCACUAGAUGUGCGGGAACUCAAUGUGCAUAAAAGCUACAACCCUCUUGGAUAAGCCUUGACACUUGCCACGAAGUGAUUAUUAGCAAGAUACAUAGCGUGGCCCGCGUAUGGAUGCACGCGAGGAGAGGGCAGGGAGGCGUAGGUUCCUGCCCCCCAUCCCCUCACGCGUGCUUGAUCAUGUUACCAUGUGUUCACUCCCAUCCCAUCUCCCUUGUGCAAAAGGAAUUGUCAGCACUUGUGUUUAAGGAGUACAAAUUUUUGGGCUCGGUUGGUUGCAGUAAUAGAGGUCAUAGCGCUGAAUUGACACGGACAAGAAAUAUGACAGGGUGUGCACUAUCAGCUGAUUUUAUUUCAGAAGGGUAUGGUACUUAUAUCGAUGAAAGGAAUACAAAGUAGAAAUCGCAUAUGCAAACCAGCAUUUUCCAAAUAGGCAAUUUCUCUUCCGCUCAAAGCUAGCAUCGGGGAACUGAUGCAAUUAGCACCCUUUUUUGUGAUCAACCUUGCUUCAACAAUUUCCUGCGUAUCCUUAUCUGCAUUUUCUAUACAUGAUGGAAGAAUGAUUAAACAGUGGUUCACACCCACAAUCGUCACAGUGCAGUGAAACAUGCCCAACUCGAGAACAUUCCAGUUUAGUGAGGACCUUCAUUUAAGUCAUGUUUUCAGUGAGGACUGACAACUUACAAUUGCCAUUCAGAGUGAUUGUGUCGUACGUGGCAGAAUGCACUUGCAUGUUUUCUGCAAGAUACGCUUAGCUUGUUCUGUACUGAAGAAACUUUCCUGGUCACAAGUUCAAAUGAAGUAGAUCACCAAAGAAAUAUCACCAAAGAAAUGUUGGUCUGCUCUAUUGGAUAUGCAUUGGUACUACUUUAUGCCUCAAGAUGCCCCAAUGCGAUGUAUUGAAGACUGCGUAUAUUACUAUGGCAUAAUCGCAUUUCAAACUCUUGACAGACAUUUUAUCUAAGGUCAACCUAUGUUGAAUGUGACGGGCUCAUCUAUUUUCAGAAGGAAGGAGUCUGUAUUGGGUCAUGCCUAGUCCCCUGCCUUGAGCGACGAUCUGUUUCUCGGAUACCAUGACAGACGUCUAAAAGGAAAAAUGGAGGCAUUAGAGAUUUUACAAAUUGUUUGGUAUGUGGACUACCUAGUGCUGUAUGAAUUCAAUUCAAAUAACAAUGAAACAGUGACUGAUGUGGCUGCCUUGUUCUGGGAGUGUAGUGUCUUGACAAUCUGGUUAUUACACAUGAGCUACCUAUGAGUAACGCCAUCCACUUUCUAGGUAUCAAACUUAUUUUGUCUGCCAAUCGCUGCUGAUGAGAAUAUCACCCUUGGGAGAAAAAGAUGCUUCCGCAUGCUUUGUCACAUUAAAAACUGGUGAAGUGAGUAAUUACAAACUCGUGUUUUGUGAAUGCACUUCCAUCUGACCUUGAUUCCUUCGUGGCUGAAUGAUUGCACUGCCACAUCAUAUCGCUCUAGCAAUGUUCGUAUAAAUAAACUGGACAUGUGGAAGAGAGAA